CACAAAUAUAUUAGAUAAAAAGGAUUAUUGUUAUGCUGGGAACCCAGUAAACUUCAAAUAACACAAGGGUGCAAGUAUACUAAAUAGCUUUUUCCACGAGUCAUUGUUUUAAGGAGAUUGCUAUUGAUGCACACCACACGUCGACCAAGUCAAUUUCAGAUUAAUCAUUUAACCAGGGAAAACCAGAUGUACAAUUAUCUUUUUGAUGCGUAGGUCAAAAUUUCAGACAAUCUGAUGAUCGGAAACAAUAAUGAUAAUAAAUUUGUGCGCCGUGAGCGAAUUCUACUCUCCUCUUACAAUGUCCUCCCUCUAUAUUUUACCAUUCGAGUUAUAAAAAAAACUUACUACAACACGUAAUGGCGCUAAUGUGGAAAACCUCUGAAUUACGUGUAAGUUGUGUUCCAUGUUCAACUUUGAUUUGCGUUUGCAGUCUACCCAUUAUCCAUCAACAGCCAAUCGUGAAAACGGAUGAGCGAAAAAAAUAUGACGUCAUCUGUAAUAGACCUAACGAUGUUGCAUUUGGUUUUAAAUUCACAUCCUCUAGGAGUCGCACCCUUUUGGUGUCAACAUCUCAUUUGCAUCUAAUAAAUAUAAACAUGAGAAUUUGAAAUUCUGUAUCCCCUUAUAAUUCCACCAUCAUCAUCAAAUACGUUAGAAUCAUCACCUUUGCUGAGAAUUGUCUCUGCA
RNAcentral lists this long non-coding RNA (687 nucleotides) under Brassica napus (rape). RNAcentral's name for it is "long non-coding RNA (BNAP_LNC007934)". Lineage: Eukaryota; Viridiplantae; Streptophyta; Magnoliopsida; Brassicales; Brassicaceae. The record is from RNAcentral.